GUGCCUCGGGGCGCAGCAGUGAGGAAUAUUGGUCAAUGGGCGGAAGCCUGAACCAGCCAAGUCGCGUGAGGGAAUAAGGCCCUACGGGUCGUAAACCUCUUUUGCCGGGGAGCAAGGGCGGGGACGUGUCCCGGCCCUGAGAGUACCCGGAGAAAAAGCAUCGGCUAACUCCGUGCCAGUAGCCGCGGUAAUACGGAGGAUGCAAGCGUUAUCCGGAUUUAUUGGGUUUAAAGGGUGCGUAGGCGGUCUUUUAAGUCAGCGGUAAAAAUUCGGGGCUCAACCCCGUCCGGCCGUUGAAACUGGGG
Molecule: ribosomal RNA, 305 nt
Filed under: uncultured bacterium
Lineage: Bacteria
Description: bacterial SSU rRNA
Rfam family: Bacterial small subunit ribosomal RNA
Source: RNAcentral